AUACUACAAAAAACGAAAUAUAGCAACAGGCGCAGAUCGAACUGAAGAAAGCUUUCAGUCUGCUCAGAUUUUCUCGGUAAUCCGGCGACGACCAAAUAAUCCGGCUAUCUCUCAAUCUGCUCCGGCGAUUGCAGAUUGAAUUUUUGACAGGAUAUUGUUUACCAAUCGGACCUCUUUGUACAAUCAUUCUUUUCAAGAUCUAAUCGUUAUUUUGGAGGGUUUCAAUCUUGUUUUUAGGGUUUUACAAGGUCGGAGAGGGAAUCAUAUCUCCGGUCUUAUAAAGAGGUGUGUUAUUAUGAUAACGCGUUCAAAACUCGUAGAGCAACUCAGAGAUAGCCAGAUCCGAUCUCAGCACAAGUGGUCUCCUCUCGUUAUAUUCUCACCUAAACCAAAUCUCUCCACCUGGGUUGAUGUUGCUGUGGCAAUCUUAUGGGCCACACUGUUCAUUGUGCUUGUAACAUCAUCGUAUAUGACCCUCUACUUCAGACAUUUCUGGCUUUCCUUUGCCAUCAUUUGCCUUGGUAUUCUAAUUCCUAUACGCUUGAGGAUUUCUAGGCAGACAAUUGCGAGAAAAAAGGAUAGAAGGUUGCUAUUGCCUUUGUCCAUGUGAGCAUCCACAAUUGGCCAUACAAGUGAAAACCCAGUUAUUUAAUCAACAGGAUUAUUGAUUACUCUGGUACGAAGAAAUUUUGCUGGAACCGUUAGAAACUCAGCAAAGAGCUGUCAGGAUAGAUGCUAUUGUUCUUUUUCCAUCUUUUACCUGUAUGUACAAAACAUAAUUUCGUUACUUUCACAUGUAAAUUUGACUAGUUCAUCUGAGUUCAUGUUAGUGGGUAUUAUGGCUAGUAGAUUUGUAGUUCUCUGUCUCUUCAGACUCUUACUGUUAGAAAUUUUUGAUAUUUUCACCGAAUUGAUAUGUUCCUGAUUCUGCUUUGUGUAAGAGAUACUUUGGUGCUUUGGGGA
This is a long non-coding RNA of Cynara cardunculus var. scolymus (artichoke), 963 nucleotides long. RefSeq lists it as uncharacterized. The transcript has 2 exons. The record is from RefSeq and is a predicted model, not a curated record. NCBI's taxonomy places the organism in Eukaryota, Viridiplantae, Streptophyta, Magnoliopsida, Asterales, Asteraceae.